Molecule: ribosomal RNA, 486 nt
Filed under: uncultured bacterium
Lineage: Bacteria
Description: partial 16S ribosomal RNA
Rfam family: Bacterial small subunit ribosomal RNA
Source: RNAcentral
AUUGAACGCUGGCGGCAUGCCUUACACAUGCAAGUCGAACGGCAGCACGGGUGCUUGCACCUGGUGGCGAGUGGCGAACGGGUGAGUAAUACAUCGGAACAUGUCCUGUAGUGGGGGAUAGCCCGGCGAAAGCCGGAUUAAUACCGCAUACGAUCUACGGAUGAAAGCGGGGGACCUUCGGGCCUCGCGCUAUAGGGUUGGCCGAUGGCUGAUUAGCUAGUUGGUGGGGUAAAGGCCUACCAAGGCGACGAUCAGUAGCUGGUCUGAGAGGACGACCAGCCACACUGGGACUGAGACACGGCCCAGACUCCUACGGGAGGCAGCAGUGGGGAAUUUUGGACAAUGGGCGAAAGCCUGAUCCAGCAAUGCCGCGUGUGUGAAGAAGGCCUUCGGGUUGUAAAGCACUUUUGUCCGGAAAGAAAUCCUUGGCCCUAAUACGGUCGGGGGAUGACGGUACCGGAAGAAUAAGAACCGGCUAACUACGUG